Molecule: non-coding RNA, 264 nt
Organism: Cucurbita pepo subsp. pepo (vegetable marrow)
Lineage: Eukaryota; Viridiplantae; Streptophyta; Magnoliopsida; Cucurbitales; Cucurbitaceae
Source: RefSeq, a predicted model, not a curated record
UUGAAAGUGUCUACAAAAUCAGAAACGCGAGGACGCCAUCCCAAUUGCAGUGCCUGCCCUUCCGCUCAAGGGCCACUUUGAACUCCGAGCUCCUCCUCCUUCUCCCUUCAGUUCCUUUCCUUAUAAAUCCUCUGCACUCUCAAACUUCCUCACUCAACAAACAUCACCCAGAGAAAGCUUAGCAGCAGAAAUAAUUGAUGGGUUUUGAUUUUCAGAGAGGGAAAAUGGUUGAAGGGUGAAGAAGAAGAAGAAGAAGAAGAAGAA